RNAcentral lists this ribosomal RNA (119 nucleotides) under Aspergillus niger. The record is from RNAcentral. Lineage: Eukaryota; Fungi; Ascomycota; Eurotiomycetes; Eurotiales; Aspergillaceae.
ACAUACGACCAUAGGGUGUGGAAAACAGGGCUUCCCGUCCGCUCAGCCGUACUUAAGCCACACGCCGGGAGGUUAGUAGUUGGGUGGGUGACCACCAGCGAAUCCCUUCUGUUGUAUGU